AACCUCCUCCUUCACUCCUCCGCCUCUCUCGGUUUCGUGCCGCUGCCGCCGCUGCAUAAAUCAAUUCAAGGAGUAUCAUGGUUAAUCAAAAAUCAAUUUUGUUGGUCACCAUUUUGUUGAAUGUCGUAGUAAGCACAUCAGCAAGGUCUUGUCAAUCCGAUAAACGUUGCGAAUCUCUAGCUCCUAGUUUGCAAGAAGAUGUGAAGAUUGAUUUUACGGUAUGUGAAAAGGAUGAAGACUGCCCAGUGUGCGUAAAAGGUAGAAGAAUAUGCACCCAGGGCUUCUGCGGUUGUGCUUAACCAUUAGACAAAAAUUCCUUGUAAAUGAGGGCAAUUAUACUGAUUUUGGUUUAAU
Salvia hispanica is the source of this 354-nucleotide non-coding RNA. Lineage: Eukaryota; Viridiplantae; Streptophyta; Magnoliopsida; Lamiales; Lamiaceae. The record is from RefSeq and is a predicted model, not a curated record.